Molecule: unclassified non-coding RNA, 179 nt
Organism: Chelonoidis abingdonii (Abingdon island giant tortoise)
Lineage: Eukaryota; Metazoa; Chordata; Testudines; Testudinidae
Source: Ensembl
UUGACAGCCCUGGAGACUGAUGUCUUCCAUGUAUCCGCAGAACAGGUACUGAAUCAGUAGAGGCCACAUAAUUUUCCCCACUCCCCCGCACCACUGUGCUUUAUCUUUAUUGUAGAGAAAACAUUACUAGGCCUAAGAAAAGAGUUCAGUCUCCAUAGCCUAUUCAGUCCUUGACCUCU